CCUACGGGAGGCAGCAGUAAGGAAUAUUGGUCAAUGGAGGCAACUCUGAACCAGCCAUGCCGCGUGCAGGAAGACUGCCCUAUGGGUUGUAAACUGCUUUUAUCCGGGAAUAAACCUGCUUACGUGUAAGUAGCUGAAUGUACCGGAAGAAUAAGGAUCGGCUAACUCCGUGCCAGCAGCCGCGGUAAUACGGAGGAUCCAAGCGUUAUCCGGAUUUAUUGGGUUUAAAGGGUGCGUAGGCGGCCUGUUAAAGUCAGGGGUGAAAGACGGUAGCUCAACUAUCGCAGUGCCCUUGAUACUGAUGGGCUUGAAUGGACUAGAGGUAGGCGGAAUGAGACAAGUAGCGGUGAAAUGCAUAGAUAUGUCUCAGAACACCGAUUGCGAAGGCAGCUUACUAUGGUCUUAUUGACGCUGAGGCACGAAAGCGUGGGGAUCAAACAGGAUUAGAUACCCUGGUAGUCCACGCCCUAAACGAUGAACACUCGCUGUUGGCGAAUACACAUCAGCGCGAGACGAACGACGUUAAGUUAGUUCCGUAACCGUCGGGUAGGUUACGGACCGUACCGAAGGGUUAAGGUAACGUUACGAGUUAGAGUUAGGACGGCGUUGAGACGCGACCGACGGACGACGACGAGGGAGGAGG
This 643-nucleotide ribosomal RNA is filed under the name uncultured bacterium. RNAcentral's name for it is "bacterial SSU rRNA". The stretch from base 1 to 541 matches the Rfam family "Bacterial small subunit ribosomal RNA", at positions 338 to 873 of the family's 1533-position model. The record is from RNAcentral.